This 72-nucleotide transfer RNA is filed under the name Marmota monax (woodchuck). It matches the Rfam family "tRNA". Rfam says of the family: Transfer RNA (tRNA) molecules are approximately 80 nucleotides in length. The record is from Rfam by way of RNAcentral. Lineage: Eukaryota; Metazoa; Chordata; Mammalia; Rodentia; Sciuridae.
CUCAUUGUAGCUCAGUGGUAGAGUGCUUGCCUUUCAUGCAUGAGGCACUGGGUUCAAUCCUCAGCAACAAAU